Salvelinus sp. IW2-2015 is the source of this 295-nucleotide long non-coding RNA. RefSeq lists it as uncharacterized. The record is from RefSeq and is a predicted model, not a curated record. Lineage: Eukaryota; Metazoa; Chordata; Actinopteri; Salmoniformes; Salmonidae.
CAGAACAGCUCGAGCUCAAGGAGACAAACGGUAGAGCGAGCGCCUCUUCUUCUGAAGGACGCCUGGACCUCGCGCGUAUCCAGGACUUUAUUAUUUUAUUCCUCUCUUUUUCUCCUCCUUUCCUCCCGUUCUCUUUCCCACGAGAUGAGUGACUGAUCCAGAGAGGGUCCUACGCGCUGUUAUUCUAAAGUUUUGGGUCAGUUAGAAGGAGAGAUGAUGAUGAGUCCGAGGUCAUCGCGCUUUGCUUCCUGUUCGGAGCCGCGGCAACACGCACAGGCCGUCCCAGAAUGCAACA